UGUGAAGUGAGAGCAUAACUAUGGAAGUAUUUGUGGGCGAUCGAGGUUAUGUUUUCUUGGGAGGGCGAACAUUAAUUCAUAGUGAACCAUAGUGUAAAUAAAAAACAAACAUUUUUCAUAUAAAUGUUCAUGUUAGUGUAACAAGCGUUCUUGACAAUUUUCAUGCGAAAAUGAAUAGCAGUGCUUCAUCAGUGAAAAAAACAAAAUUAAGUGUAACAUUUGAAGGUCACAUUUAGUGUUUGACUUUGUUUUUUUGGACAGGUCAAAAUUCUACAGCUUUUCAACUAAAAUUUGCAGGUAGCAUUCGGAUGUGACCACGAACACAUAUAAUUUUAUUUUGAUUUUUCUUACAUUUGAAAAAUGCAUUUUUGGCACUCAGGAGCAUGUGCUUCUGGAAGCCAAACUGGAUUUCCGUGUUUUCUCAUACUUUUUCCCUAAUCAUAUAUUUGUGUUUCUGUAUUAAUUGCAAUCAUAAUCAACUGUAGUUAAUUGCAUUGUGAAUCGACUAUUCAAUAUUUGAAAGUGCCACAAGAGCUGUUUCUGUAUUAAUUGCACUGUGUGCGUUUGUAUUCCACCUGACCACCUGUACUAAGUUUCUGGUACUCCCAACGGUAGUGCAUAGCCUGCACAUGACCGGCACCAAAAACACCUUGUAUAUGCAUCUACUACGGUUGCCCAGAUGUCGCUUUCCGUGGAUGAAAUACAACGAACUCCCCUAUCUAUACAGCGAGAUGAUCCCAAGGCAUCAGGUGCUCGUCCACCAAAACUGCUUUUCGUAGAAACUUACGUAGCUUACUAGUGAAGCUAGUAUAUGACGCAAAUGCUUACCUCAGAUAGGUCGGUUCAGAACUGCUAUAUAAGGAGCAGCUCACCACAAAUUGUAACAAGCUCAUCAGUACUGAAAUACACUAGAAAAACAGCUUCACAGCGUGGAUGUCAUCAUGGUUAACUAGACGAGAGAAAGAUGAGGGGGACAAAGUAUCCACCUCUCAUCACUAUGCCUUGAUCGGGAGCUUCACACCGUGGAUGUCAUCGUGGCCGUACAUGAAUCGUCCCCCACAUCCAGCUCUGUUCAAUUUCAGACAAAGGUGGACGUUUCAUUGUACGGCCUGAUGACAUCCACAGCGUGGCUCUCCCAGAAACAGACUACUCAAGGGAGAAACAAAGCUGUAACAGGCAGCCAAGCCGUAUACAAGUGAAGUGUGCACCCGACGGUUACCUUCAGGCGAGGCACAGAGCCACGGCCGUCUUCGGGGACUUCUCGGGGAGGCGGCUCCAAGCGGUGGCCUCGCUGAACGGACGGGAGCGCCCUCACACGCCACAACAACAGCGCAGCACGGCUGCACGGCGGGCAUGGUCGCCACCGGAGCGUGGCGGCAGCGACCGCGUCGCGUCAGCGAAGGCGACGGGCGCACGGCCGAGGCCUUGUGAUCAGUGCGCAGCCCGGUCCACGCGCAAGGCGAGGCGGAAGCCAAACCUCCUGGCGUGGCUCUCCCGGUCGCAUGGCGGCCCAUGGCGCAGCGGAGGUUCUGCCCGGCGCGGUGCGGCGGUGUAGCGCGUGGCUAUGCGCCGGCGCGGCAUUGGCAACGUGCGGUUGCCUGACCCGAAGGCAUGGCCGGGCUGGCUGUUGGCCGCCCGUCGACGGCGACGGUGCGGCGUUGACUGUGCGGCACGGAUUUCUCCGGCGAUAGGCCAUGCGGCUUGGAGGAAGCGGGGAUUGGGUAAUCCUAUCCCUUUGGAAUAUUUACAGUUCGGUCUACAAUAUUUCUGUUAUUCACAGAAACGACCAUAUAUUUCUCUAUAUUUUCUUUUGAACACCAUAUAUUGGCAAAGGCACCGGUUUGCAAUUGGGCGCUGCUACGCGUCGGCCGGCGGAUCUUUUCGAAAGAUCCGCCACCUCGCAAGCCUCAAAUCUCGAGCGGCCGACCGUCACCAUGUACCAUUGCAAUAUAUGUUGUGUUUUAGAAUUUUUCUGCAACACGGGUCAUGAUGCAGAAAAUUUUACAACAUAGAUUAAGUUGCAGAUUUUUUUACAACAAAAGUCUUGUUAGAGUUUUA
Aegilops tauschii subsp. strangulata is the source of this 2058-nucleotide non-coding RNA. NCBI's taxonomy places the organism in Eukaryota, Viridiplantae, Streptophyta, Magnoliopsida, Poales, Poaceae. The record is from RefSeq and is a predicted model, not a curated record.